GGGGGGGGUGCAAGCGUUAUUCGGAAUCACUGGGCGUAAAGAGCGCGUAGGGCGGUCUCUUAAGUCAGAUGUGAAAGCCCGGGGCUUAACCCCGGAAGUGCAUUUGAAACGGAGGGACUUGAGUAUGGGAGAGGGAAGUGGAAUUCCUGGUGUAGCGGUGAAAUGCGUAGAUAUCAGGAGGAACACCGGUGGCGAUGGCGACUUCCUGGACCAAUACUGACGCUGAGGCGCGAAGGCGUGGGGAGCAAACAGGAUUAGAUACCCUGGUAGUCCACGCAGUAAACGUUGAACACUAGGUGUAGCGGGUAUUGACCCCUGCUGUGCCGCAGCUAACGCAUUAAGUGUUCCGCCUGGGAAGUACGGCCGCAAGGCUA
RNAcentral lists this ribosomal RNA (374 nucleotides) under uncultured organism. RNAcentral's name for it is "partial 16S ribosomal RNA". It matches the Rfam family "Bacterial small subunit ribosomal RNA", at positions 525 to 896 of the family's 1533-position model. The record is from RNAcentral.